UACGGAGGGUGCAAGCGUUAUCCGGAUUUAUUGGGUUUAAAGGGUGCGUAGGCGGGAUAUUAAGUCAGUGGUGAAAUCUUCCAGCUUAACUGGGAAACUGCCAUUGAUACUGAUAUUCUUGAGUUUGAUUGAAGUAGGCGGAAUGAGGCAUGUAGCGGUGAAAUGCAUAGAUAUGCCUCAGAACACCGAUCGCGAAGGCAGCUUACUAAGUCAAUACUGACGCUGAGGCACGAAAGCGUGGGGAGCAAACAGG
Molecule: unclassified non-coding RNA, 253 nt
Filed under: uncultured Cryomorphaceae bacterium
Lineage: Bacteria; Pseudomonadati; Bacteroidota; Flavobacteriia; Flavobacteriales; Cryomorphaceae
Description: contains 16S-23S intergenic spacer region
Rfam family: Bacterial small subunit ribosomal RNA
Source: RNAcentral